This 314-nucleotide unclassified non-coding RNA is filed under the name plant metagenome. RNAcentral describes it as "partial contains 5.8S ribosomal RNA, internal transcribed spacer 2, and large subunit ribosomal RNA". The stretch from base 1 to 105 matches the Rfam family "5.8S ribosomal RNA", at positions 50 to 154 of the family's 154-position model. The record is from RNAcentral.
GAAAUGCGAUAAUUAAUGUGAAUUGCAGAAUUCAGUGAAUCAUCGAGUCUUUGAACGCACAUUGCGCCCCCUGGUAUUCCGGGGGGCAUGCCUGUCCGAGCGUCAUUGCUGCCCUCAAGCACGGCUUGUGUGUUGGGCUUCCGUCCCUGGCAACGGGGACGGGCCCAAAAGGCAGUGGCGGCACCAUGUCUGGUCCUCGAGCGUAUGGGGCUUUGUCACCCGCUCCCGUAGGUCCAGCUGGCAGCUAGCCUCGCAACCAAUCUUUUUAUCCAGGUUGACCUCGGAUCAGGUAGGGAUACCCGCUGAACUUAAGC